This is a long non-coding RNA of Saccostrea cuccullata (small rock oyster), 826 nucleotides long. RefSeq lists it as uncharacterized. The transcript has 6 exons. Lineage: Eukaryota; Metazoa; Mollusca; Bivalvia; Ostreida; Ostreidae. The record is from RefSeq and is a predicted model, not a curated record.
GAUAUUCCUCCACCUCUUUACAUUUUCCAAACAACAUUUGGACCAAGUCAUCAGUUCCAUACCUCUUGGCUGAAAUUAAAUGAAAUGAACCAUGAGACUUUCAAAUGGCACGAAGAAUGAAAGUUUUAAAAGAUAUAUGUAAAAGUACCAAUGUAAUGGUUCUCUUCUUUGGCUGAUUGGUAUCCUUUGAUUGAUUAAGUGAAGACACUUGACAUCAACUGGUGGUCAAUAUCCAGCAUCUUCUUCCCAAUACUACAAAUACAACCUUCUGGUGCCUGAUGACCACUUAGCCCUUCCUCAUCCUGGUGCUGACCAGUGAUUUCUUGAAGUCUCUAUUACCUGUUGAAUUUAGACACGUACCAGCAUUUGGCAGCAGAAAUUGAACAUCAUCAACAUUAUUGUCCUCCUCUUCCUGCUUCUGGCCAUUUUCUCCAUUUCCUAUGAGAAGACACGUACCAUCAUUUGGCAGCAGAGAUUGCACAUCAUCACCAUUAUUGUCCUCCUCAUCCUGCUUCUGGCCAUUUUCUCCAUUUCCUAUGAGAAGACACGCACCGUCUGGCUGUUGGGAUGGAACUUCAUCAUUUUGGGAUGUGUCGAAUUCCUCUUCCCUCUGGCAGUCUUCUCCGUCUGCUAAGAGAAAGUGAUGUAUAUGUAAGAUGCAAAGUGCAUCAAUAUGAGGUUUGCUUGUAAUGACUGAAUAUUGUAGAAGUACUUCAUUUUUCUACUAGGUAUUUAUUUAGGCAGUCUCCAAAUCACCACAGAAAUUUGUCGAAGCAUACUCAAAAUAUACUAGUAGUGAGAGUUCAAGAAAUUGAUAUAAUUUUCU